UGGGGAAUUUUGGACAAUGGGCGAAAGCCUGAUCCAGCCAUGCCGCGUGAGUGAAGAAGGCCUUCGGGUUGUAAAGCUCUUUUAGUCGGAAAGAAAGAGUUGCAAUGAAUAAUUGUGAUUUAUGACGGUACCGACAGAAAAAGCACCGGCUAACUACGUGCCAGCAGCCGCGGUAAUACGUAGGGUGCGAGCGUUAAUCGGAAUUACUGGGCGUAAAGGGUGCGCAGGCGGUCUUGCAAGUCAGAUGUGAAAGCCCCGGGCUUAACCUGGGAAUUGCGUUUGAAACUACAAGGCUAGAGUGCAGCAGAGGGGAGUGGAAUUCCAUGUGUAGCAGUGAAAUGCGUAGAGAUGUGGAAGAACACCGAUGGCGAAGGCAGCCCACUGGGUUGACACUGACGCUCAUGCACGAAAGCGUGGGGAGCAAACA
Molecule: ribosomal RNA, 427 nt
Filed under: uncultured beta proteobacterium
Lineage: Bacteria; Pseudomonadati; Pseudomonadota; Betaproteobacteria
Description: bacterial SSU rRNA
Rfam family: Bacterial small subunit ribosomal RNA
Source: RNAcentral